UCGGGACAACACCGUUGGACCAUCCGUAGGGUUUACCACAGGGAUGAUAGCGUCACGGGUUGGUAGCGAAGCGUCACGGGAUCAAGGUUGGUAGCGAAGCGUCACGGGAUCAGACAGAUAGCAAGUGAGACGGCAAUCAAAAACGUCAAUUUAGAUAAAAUUGCUUAAUCACGAAGGAAGGUAAUAGUUAGAGGUUAAAAGGUGAAAGUCAAAUAAAGUUUAAAAAAAAAGUUUUUCUACAAGUUCUUGGAUUUCGGAUCGGUGGUAGUUGCGAAAAUUAAGUGGGACUUAAUCAGCACGACAGGACAAACCGAGUUAAAAACCUUGCGGGGGAGAAUUUGAAGGAUUGACGAGUAAAAGUAAGUCGAUAGCUAAAACGUUAACCUAAAGUAAAAUAAAACAUUGAAAUCUUAAAAUUUAAAAUAUAGAAAAUCUGGAGUUGAUUUGAGACAGAGAGUCGGCUAGGGAAAGAUAAGGCGAAGAAAUCCGCAGGAGGAAGGAAGAAACUAAAUCUUUGAUCUACUUAGAACUAAAAGUGGAUUCACGGCUGGUUUCUUGUUCCGAACACUUCUACUAUCAAAUUUUUUCUUCCUAAGUUUCUUGGUACCUAUUUUUUUUCUUCCUAAGUUUCUUGGACUUCAACCGAAAUAGUAAUAAACGAUUAAUCAAUGCAUUUUUAAAAUUAUAAUAGUGAAAUACAUUACUCGGUAAUAUCAUGUACCUUGCAUA
Molecule: long non-coding RNA, 729 nt
Organism: Wyeomyia smithii (pitcher-plant mosquito)
Lineage: Eukaryota; Metazoa; Arthropoda; Insecta; Diptera; Culicidae
Exons: 3
Source: RefSeq, a predicted model, not a curated record